Molecule: long non-coding RNA, 115 nt
Organism: Pecten maximus
Lineage: Eukaryota; Metazoa; Mollusca; Bivalvia; Pectinida; Pectinidae
Exons: 3
Source: RefSeq, a predicted model, not a curated record
AAACCACCGGCCUACGGUCAGUACCUGGCAACCUCCCAACCCAAUGUGAAUACACAAGCUUCCACUGACGACAGACAAAUGUAUGAAUCCCUUGGCACAAGAAGUAAUGCGGCCG